AAGUCGUAACAAGGUUUCCGUAGGUGAACCUGCGGAAGGAUCAUUAACACAUCCAAAUAUUCUAUUAUACACCGUCGCACUGUAAGCGCACCGUACACGUUGAGAGCCUCCUUAGUAACUUGUCGGACUGAUCGUUUAAGACGUGAUGAUAGGCGCCGCUCUGUCGGGUCCGAAAGGGCUUGCGAUACGACCGUGCUGAUGCUUCACGGAUUUCCGAUGGGUGUGAGUGUCCGUUAAUUCGGCGCUUGGGAGCACGUGCGGAAGAGGUUAGAAACGAUAUCGACCAUUUUCUUUUUAACUUGUCGUUUGUACUGAUUUCGGCAUCGGAUUGAGAAGGUUCGCCUUUUCUCUGGGGCCUGUCGAUGGAGAAAUCCAUCGUACGAACUAAUAAACACAACUCUUAACAGCGGAUAUCUCGGUUCUC
RNAcentral lists this unclassified non-coding RNA (424 nucleotides) under fungal sp. RNAcentral describes it as "partial internal transcribed spacer region". The stretch from base 1 to 46 matches the Rfam family "Eukaryotic small subunit ribosomal RNA", at positions 1786 to 1831 of the family's 1831-position model. The record is from RNAcentral. Lineage: Eukaryota; Fungi.